Molecule: unclassified non-coding RNA, 1174 nt
Filed under: uncultured fungus
Lineage: Eukaryota; Fungi
Description: sequence contains 18S rRNA gene, ITS1, 5.8S rRNA gene, ITS2, 28S rRNA gene
Rfam family: Eukaryotic large subunit ribosomal RNA (bases 289-1174)
Source: RNAcentral
GGAAGGAUCAUUCGUAUGCAACUAGCUCUCGGAAGCGGUUUCCGUAGAAGAGGGCGCCUUUUUUAAAUGAAGUAAUCAUAAAUUGCUGGCAAUGGAUGUCUUGGUUCAGGUUUCGAAGAUGGACGCAGCGAGAUGCGAUACGCAUUACGAAAUGCGAAGCUCCGUGAGUUUCUUGAUUUCCUAACGCAAACUGCGCGUUAACGCCGCAUAUGCUGAUCAGUGUCUUUUUUGAUCUUGCCUCAAAAAUUGGGCAGUAUAUUUCAUUCAAUGAUUCUUUUUGAAUCGAUUGUAUCCUGAUCAGCGUAAGAGUACCCGCUGAAUUUAAGCAUAUUACUAAGCGGAGGAAGAGAAAACAAUUGUGACUCCCUGAGUAACGGCGAGUGAAAAGGGACAAGCUCUAUUUCUUAUAAUUGUGUUCAUCACAAAAUGUGUUGUUGUGUCAAUAGGUCUCUGAGGUUGCUUGAUGUUGGCUGGAAUGUCGCGUUACAAACGGUGAAAAUCCGGUUCAAGUUGCCUUUGUGGCUUUUGGUGCUGUGCAGAGUAGCGCUCUUUGAGAGUGGAGUGUGAAUGGGUGGUAGCAUUUCACCCGAAGCUGAGUAUCAACCUGAAACCGAUAGCGUAAAAGUACCUUGAGGGAAAGAUGAAAAGAACUUUGGAAAGAGAGUUAAAAGUGUCUGAAAUUGCUAGUAUGGAAGCCUUCAAGGUCAAUUUGACGUCGGCAAUGUCUGUUUGUGCAUCUGCACGGAUUUGUCAUUGCUAGUUGCUGCCGUUUCUUCAAUCUCUCAUGUCGUUUGUUGGACUUGUCUAUCAUUCGCUGGGUUCUGAUUUGAUGAAGUGUUGGCUGUUCGUGGCCUUGUUGGGCCCGUCUUGAAACACGGACCAAGGAGUCUAACGUUUGUGCGAGUUCGUUGGUUUUAUGCCACUGUGCGUAGUGAAAGCAAUUUUUGUUACAGGCGUAUCUUCGUCUUGUCGCAAAGUCCACUUCAAGAUCUCGGUCUUGAUUUGAGUUGGAGCACGGCCGUUGGGACCCGAAAGAUGGUGAACUAUGCUUGGACAGGGUGAAGCCAGGGGAAACUCUGGUGGAAGCUCGCAGCGAUACUGACGUGCAAAUCGUUCGUCUGAUCUGAGUAUAGGGGCGAAAGACUAAUCGAACUAUCUAGUAGCUGGUUCCUCU